RNAcentral lists this signal recognition particle RNA (267 nucleotides) under Clostridia bacterium. RNAcentral's name for it is "signal recognition particle sRNA large type". It matches the Rfam family "Bacterial large signal recognition particle RNA". Rfam says of the family: The signal recognition particle (SRP) is a universally conserved ribonucleoprotein involved in the co-translational targeting of proteins to membranes. The record is from RNAcentral. Lineage: Bacteria; Bacillati; Bacillota; Clostridia.
CCAUACCAGCCGGGGAAGUAGCGGUGCCUUGUACCUGAAAUCCGCUAUAGCAGGGGUCAAUUCCUCUCCCAAGGGCUGCGCUUGUGCGGUCUGCGCCGUCUUUGUUUAUGUUGAAGGGUGGGUCUUGUGCAAUCCGAGGCUGUGAACCAUGUCAGGUGGGGAACCAAGCAGCAUUAAGCGGUUUAUCGGAUGUGCCACAGGGGUGCCUAUCCGGAGCAAACGGGGCGGUUAACGCGGGUAAGCGUAUUUCGACGGAGAGGUGUAUGG